This 392-nucleotide ribosomal RNA is filed under the name uncultured bacterium. Its description in RNAcentral is "partial 16S ribosomal RNA". It matches the Rfam family "Bacterial small subunit ribosomal RNA", at positions 523 to 918 of the family's 1533-position model. The record is from RNAcentral.
AUACGGAGGAUGCGAGCGUUAUCCGGAUUUAUCGGGUUUAAAGGGAGCGUAGGCGGGAGCUUAAGUCAGCGGUUAAAUGGUGCGGCUCAACCGUGCCCUGCCGUUGAAACUGGGUUUCUUGAGAGUGCAAGAGGCGGAUGGAAUUCAUGGUGUAGCGGUGAAAUGCUUAGAUAUCAUGAAGAACUUCGAUUGCGAAGGCAGUCCGCUGGGGCACGUCUGACGCUGAUGCUCGAAGGUGCGGGAAUCAAACAGGAUUAGAUACCCUGGUAGUCCGCACGGUAAACGAUGAUUACCCGCUGUCGGCGGCAGACAGUCGGCGGCCAAGCGAAAGCGAUAAGUAAUCCACCUGGGGAGUACGCCGGCAACGGUGAAACUCAAAGGAAUUGACGAAG